GAUGAACGCUAGCGGGAGGCCUAACACAUGCAAGCCGAGCGGUAGAGUUCCUUCGGGGUCUUGAGAGCGGCGUACGGGUGCGUAACACGUGUGCAACCUACCUUUAUCUGGGGGAUAGCCUUUCGAAAGGAAGAUUAAUACCCCAUAAUAUAAUGAUUGGCAUCAAUUAUUAUUGAAAACUCCGGUGGAUAGAGAUGGGCACGCGCAAGAUUAGAUAGUUGGUGAGGUAACGGCUCACCAAGUCAAUGAUCUUUAGGGGUCCUGAGAGGGAGAUCCCCCACACUGGGACGGAGACACGGACCAGACUCCUACGGCAGGCAGCAGUGAGGAAUAUUGGACAAUGGGUGAAAGCCUGAUCCAGCCAUCCCGCGUGAAGGAGGACGGUCCUAUGGAUUGUAAACUUCUUUUGUACAGGGAUAAACCUACUCUCGUGAGGGUAGCUGAAGGUACUGGACGAAUAAGCACCGGCUAACUCCGUG
This 479-nucleotide ribosomal RNA is filed under the name uncultured bacterium. RNAcentral describes it as "partial 16S ribosomal RNA". It matches the Rfam family "Bacterial small subunit ribosomal RNA", at positions 28 to 507 of the family's 1533-position model. The record is from RNAcentral.